This 429-nucleotide ribosomal RNA is filed under the name Actinomycetes bacterium. RNAcentral's name for it is "Actinobacteria bacterium partial 16S ribosomal RNA". It matches the Rfam family "Bacterial small subunit ribosomal RNA", at positions 355 to 776 of the family's 1533-position model. The record is from RNAcentral. Lineage: Bacteria; Bacillati; Actinomycetota; Actinomycetes.
UAGGGAAUCUUCCGCAAUGGGCGAAAGCCUGACGGAGCAACGCCGCGUGAGUGAUGAAGGUCUUCGGAUCGUAAAACUCUGUUAUUAGGGAAGAACAAAUGUGUAAGUAACUAUGCACGUCUUGACGGUACCUAAUCAGAAAGCCACGGCUAACUACGUGCCAGCAGCCGCGGUAAUACGUAGGUGGCAAGCGUUAUCCGGAAUUAUUGGGCGUAAAGCGCGCGUAGGCGGUUUUUUAAGUCAGGGGUGAAAUCCCGGGGCUCAACCCCGGAACUGCCGUUGAUACUGGAAGUCUUGAGUAUGGUAGAGGUGAGUGGAAUUCCGAGUGUAGAGGUGAAAUUCGUAGAUAUUCGGAGGAACACCAGUGGCGAAGGCGGCUCACUGGACCAUUACUGACGCUGAGGUGCGAAAGCGUGGGGAGCAAACAGG